AUUGAACGCUGGCGGAAUGCUUUACACAUGCAAGUCGAGCGGCAGCGCGGGGCAACCUGGCGGCGAGCGGCGAACGGGUGAGUAAUGCAUCGGAACGUACCCAGUCGUGGGGGAUAACUGUCCGAAAGGACAGCUAAUACCGCAUACGUCCUGAGGGAGAAAGCGGGGGAUCGCAAGACCUCGCGCGAUUGGAGCGGCCGAUGCCGGAUUAGCUAGUUGGUAGGGUAAAGGCCUACCAAGGCGACGAUCCGUAGCUGGUCUGAGAGGACGACCAGCCACACUGGAACUGAGACACGGUCCAGACUCCUACGGGAGGCAGCAGUGGGGAAUUUUGGACAAUGGGGGCAACCCUGAUCCAGCCAUUCCGCGUGAGUGAAGAAGGCC
Molecule: ribosomal RNA, 384 nt
Filed under: uncultured bacterium
Lineage: Bacteria
Description: bacterial SSU rRNA
Rfam family: Bacterial small subunit ribosomal RNA
Source: RNAcentral